Molecule: small nucleolar RNA, 110 nt
Organism: Fukomys damarensis (Damara mole-rat)
Lineage: Eukaryota; Metazoa; Chordata; Mammalia; Rodentia; Bathyergidae
Gene: SNORD22
Rfam family: Small nucleolar RNA SNORD22
About the family: U22 is a member of the C/D class of snoRNA which contain the C (UGAUGA) and D (CUGA) box motifs.
Source: Ensembl
UCCCAGAGGAGACACAUCCUCCCGUCUGAGCCCCAGAGCCUGGGAAGGCGAACCGCUGGGGCUGGCGGGGCAGAGGGGACGUCUGCUCCAGGAGGAGCUGUGCGAGGGGU